GACAGAGGUGCCGAGCGUAGGCGGAAUCACUGGGCUUAAAGCGUGUGUAGGCGGACUUCUAAGUACCUUGUGAAAUCCCACGGCUCAACCGUGGAACUGCUUGGUAUACUGGUCGUCUUGAGCCAUCUAGGGGCUGUCGGAACAAAUGGUGGAGCGGGUGAAAUGCGUAGAUAUCAUUUGGAACGCCAAAGGUGAAAACAGACAGCUGGGGAUGUGCUGACGCUGAGACACGAAAGCCAGGGGAGCGAACGGG
RNAcentral lists this ribosomal RNA (253 nucleotides) under uncultured bacterium. RNAcentral describes it as "partial 16S ribosomal RNA". It matches the Rfam family "Bacterial small subunit ribosomal RNA", at positions 524 to 776 of the family's 1533-position model. The record is from RNAcentral.